RNAcentral lists this small RNA (125 nucleotides) under Marmota monax (woodchuck). Lineage: Eukaryota; Metazoa; Chordata; Mammalia; Rodentia; Sciuridae. The record is from RNAcentral.
GCUGGGCUUGGUGAGCAAGCCUGUAAUCCCAGGACUCCUGAGGCUAAGACAGGAGGAUCAAAGGUUCAAGGUCAGCCUCAGCAAAUUAUUGAGGCUGUAAGCAACUUAGUGAGACCCUGUCUCAA